UACGUAGGGUGCGAGCGUUGUCCGGAAUUAUUGGGCGUAAAGGGCUCGUAGGCGGUUUGUCGCGUCGGGAGUGAAAACCCAGGGCUUAACUCUGGGCUUGCUUUCGAUACGGGCAGACUAGAGGUAUGCAGGGGAGAACGGAAUUCCUGGUGUAGCGGUGAAAUGCGCAGAUAUCAGGAGGAACACCGGUGGCGAAGGCGGUUCUCUGGGCAUGAUCUGACGCUGAGGAGCGAAAGUGUGGGGAGCGAACAGG
RNAcentral lists this ribosomal RNA (253 nucleotides) under uncultured bacterium. Its description in RNAcentral is "partial 16S ribosomal RNA". It matches the Rfam family "Bacterial small subunit ribosomal RNA", at positions 524 to 776 of the family's 1533-position model. The record is from RNAcentral.